UGCGAUCCCGCGAUAGGGAUAGCAGUGGAAAUCCUUUUUACAAAGGUCUUGCGAAGGGAAAGGAAAGGAGGGCUUUGUAAAAAGAUUGCAGCGGAUAGCCCGGUCCGGA
This 109-nucleotide small RNA is filed under the name Chryseobacterium sp. FH1. Its description in RNAcentral is "Flavo-1 RNA". It matches the Rfam family "Flavo-1 RNA". Lineage: Bacteria; Pseudomonadati; Bacteroidota; Flavobacteriia; Flavobacteriales; Weeksellaceae. The record is from Rfam by way of RNAcentral.